AACGAACGCUGGCGGCGUGGAUAAGACAUGCAAGUCGAACGGGAUUUGUUUUGUAGCAAUACAAGGCAAGUCCAGUGGCGUAAGGGUGCGUAACACGUGGGGAAUCUGCCGAGAAGUGGGGGAUAGCUCGUCGAAAGGCGAAUUAAUACCGCAUGUGGUUAGUGAAGACAUCUUCACGAUACCAAAGCCGGGGCAACCUGGCGCUUCUUGAUGACCCCGCGGCCUAUCAGCAGUUGGUGAGGUAACGGCUCACCAAGGCUAUGACGGGUAGCUGGUCUGAGAGGACGACCAGCCACACUGGAACUGAGACACGGUCCAGACACCUACGGGUGGCAGCAGUGGGGAAUCUUGCGCAAUGGGCGAAAGCCUGACGCAGCGACGCCGCGUGAGGGAUGACGGCC
This 401-nucleotide ribosomal RNA is filed under the name uncultured bacterium. RNAcentral's name for it is "bacterial SSU rRNA". It matches the Rfam family "Bacterial small subunit ribosomal RNA", at positions 29 to 416 of the family's 1533-position model. The record is from RNAcentral.